AGUGAACGCUGGCGGCAGGCCUAACACAUGCAAGUCGAACGGCAGCACAGUAAUAGCUUGCUCUUUCGGGUGGCGACUGGCGGGUGAUUCAUGAAUACAUCCCAAUCUACUUUUUCUUGGGUGAUAACGUAGGCACUCUUACGCUAAUACCGCAUACGACCUACGUGUGAAAUCAUGGGAUCUUCCGACCUUGCGUGAUCCUAUGUGCCGAUGUCGGAUUAGCUAGUUGGCGGGGUAAAGGCCCACCAAGGCGACGAUCCGUAGCUGGUCUGAGAGGAUGAUCAGCCACACUGGAACUGAGACACGGUCCAGACUCCUACGGGAGGCAGCAGUGGGGAAUAUUGGACAAUGGGCGAAAGCCUGAUCCAGCCAUGCCGCGUGUGUGAAGAAGGCCUUCGGAUUGUAAAGCACUUUUGUUGGGAAAGAAAGGCAGCAGGUUAAUACCCCGCUGUUUUGACGGUACCAAAAGAAUAAGCACCGGCUAACUUCGUG
RNAcentral lists this ribosomal RNA (492 nucleotides) under uncultured bacterium. RNAcentral's name for it is "partial 16S ribosomal RNA". It matches the Rfam family "Bacterial small subunit ribosomal RNA", at positions 29 to 507 of the family's 1533-position model. The record is from RNAcentral.